ACGAAGGGGGCUAGCGUUGUUCGGAAUCACUGGGCGUAAAGGGCGCGUAGGCGGCUUUGUAAGUCGGGGGUGAAAGCCUGUGGCUCAACCACAGAAUUGCCUUCGAUACUGCAUGGCUUGAGACCGGAAGAGGUAAGUGGAACUGCGAGUGUAGAGGUGAAAUUCGUAGAUAUUCGCAAGAACACCAGUGGCGAAGGCGACUUACUGGACAACUGUUGACGCUGAGGUGCGAAAGCGUGGGGAGCAAACAGGA
Molecule: ribosomal RNA, 253 nt
Filed under: uncultured prokaryote
Description: partial 16S ribosomal RNA
Rfam family: Bacterial small subunit ribosomal RNA
Source: RNAcentral